CCUGCAAGUCCUCGCCAGAGCAGGUGGGCGAGAAGAAGCCUACAGAAGCGUCCGAAUUGGGAAGGAAGAAGCCAUGUCGUUUCUCUUGGCUGAUGACGCCAUCUUACCUAAGACUACCUCUCUUUGCUGAUGACGUCAUCCUACCUAAAGACAACCCAAGGUCUCAACCAGAAACUGCCCUCACUGGUCACCGUCAGGUCGCAGGAUCGCAGUGAACACACGAACUCCCGUCAGCGCUCCAAGGGAGAUCCACACAGCUCCACUUAGCAGAGCCCAGACCUCCAACAGCCUGGAGUGCAUUCCUCUGCUGCAGGAGGGCCCUGGACAGCCAGCCGCGAUUCUCUGCCAAGGACACAGCGGGUCUGAGAGACACCUACCUGAGAGUGUCAGCCGUGUCUACAAACACCGCCUGUUGUGGACCACUCACCUGUUGUGCUUCUUCUGGUUGCUGGCAUCUUUGGGCUCAUGUGAAUGAGGCUGCU
Oryctolagus cuniculus (rabbit) is the source of this 482-nucleotide non-coding RNA. NCBI's taxonomy places the organism in Eukaryota, Metazoa, Chordata, Mammalia, Lagomorpha, Leporidae. The record is from RefSeq and is a predicted model, not a curated record.